This 765-nucleotide ribosomal RNA is filed under the name uncultured Streptococcus sp. Its description in RNAcentral is "bacterial SSU rRNA". It matches the Rfam family "Bacterial small subunit ribosomal RNA", at positions 28 to 776 of the family's 1533-position model. The record is from RNAcentral. Lineage: Bacteria; Bacillati; Bacillota; Bacilli; Lactobacillales; Streptococcaceae.
GAUGAACGCGGGCGGCGUGCCUAAUACAUGCCAGUAGAACGCUGAAGCUUGGUGCUUGCACCGAGCGGAUGAGUUGCGAACGGGUGAGUAACGCGUAGGUAACCUGCCUCUUAGCGGGGGAUAACUAUUGGAAACGAUAGCUAAUACCGCAUAAAAGUCGACAUUGCAUGAUGUUGACUUGAAAGGUGCAAUUGCAUCACUAAGAGAUGGACCUGCGUUGUAUAAGCUAGUUGGUGAGGUAACGGCUCACCAAGGCGACGAUACAUAGCCGACCUGAGAGGGUGAUCGGCCACACUGGGACUGAGACACGGCCCAGACUCCUACGGGAGGCAGCAGUAGGGAAUCUUCGGCAAUGGGGGCAACCCUGACCGAGCAACGCCGCGUGAGUGAAGAAGGUUUUCGGAUCGUAAAGCUCUGUUGUAAGAGAAGAACGAGUGUGAGAGUGGAAAGUUCACACUGUGACGGUAACUUACCAGAAAGGGACGGCUAACUACGUGCCAGCAGCCGCGGUAAUACGUAGGUCCCGAGCGUUAUCCGGAUUUAUUGGGCGUAAAGCGAGCGCAGGCGGUUAGAUAAGUCUGAAGUUAAAGGCUGUGGCUUAACCAUAGUACGCUUUGGAAACUGUUUAACUUGAGUGCAGAAGGGGAGAGUGGAAUUCCAUGUGUAGCGGUGAAAUGCGUAGAUAUAUGGAGGAACACCGGUGGCGAAAGCGGCUCUCUGGUCUGUAACUGACGCUGAGGCUCGAAAGCGUGGGGAGCAAACAGG